UACGUAGGGGGCAAGCGUUGUCCGGAAUCAUUGGGCGUAAAGAGCGUGUAGGCGGCCCGAUAAGUCCGCCGUGAAAGUCCAGGGCUCAACCCUGGAAUGCCGGUGGAAACUGUCGGGCUGGAGUCCGGAAGAGGCGAGUGGAAUUCCCGGUGUAGCGGUGAAAUGCGCAGAUAUCGGGAGGAACACCUAUGGCGAAGGCAGCUCGCUGGGACGUUACUGACGCUGAGACGCGAAAGCGUGGGGAGCAAACAGG
Molecule: ribosomal RNA, 253 nt
Filed under: uncultured bacterium
Lineage: Bacteria
Description: partial 16S ribosomal RNA
Rfam family: Bacterial small subunit ribosomal RNA
Source: RNAcentral